Molecule: transfer RNA, 74 nt
Filed under: Alosa alosa (allis shad)
Lineage: Eukaryota; Metazoa; Chordata; Actinopteri; Clupeiformes; Clupeidae
Description: tRNA-OTHER
Rfam family: tRNA (bases 9-74)
About the family: Transfer RNA (tRNA) molecules are approximately 80 nucleotides in length. Their secondary structure includes four short double-helical elements and three loops (D, anti-codon, and T loops).
Source: RNAcentral
GUGUUUGUGGCGCUGUUGGUUAAAGCGCCUGUCUAGUAAACAUGAGAUCCUGGGUUCGAAUCCCAGCAGUGCCU